AUUGAACGCUGGCGGCAGGCCUAACACAUGCAAGUCGAGCGGAUGAAGGGAGCUUGCUCCUGGAUUCAGCGGCGGACGGGUGAGUAAUGCCUAGGAAUCUGCCUGGUAGUGGGGGAUAACGUCCGGAAACGGGCGCUAAUACCGCAUACGUCCUGAGGGAGAAAGUGGGGGAUCUUCGGACCUCACGCUAUCAGAUGAGCCUAGGUCGGAUUAGCUAGUUGGUGGGGUAAAGGCCUACCAAGGCGACGAUCCGUAACUGGUCUGAGAGGAUGAUCAGUCACACUGGAACUGAGACACGGUCCAGACUCCUACGGGAGGCAGCAGUGGGGAAUAUUGGACAAUGGGCGAAAGCCUGAUCCAGCCAUGCCGCGUGUGUGAAGAAGGUCUUCGGAUUGUAAAGCACUUUAAGUUGGGAGGAAGGGCGGUAAGUCAAUACCUUGCUGUUUUGACGUUACCAACAGAAUAAGCACCGGCUAACUUCGUG
RNAcentral lists this ribosomal RNA (484 nucleotides) under uncultured bacterium. RNAcentral's name for it is "partial 16S ribosomal RNA". It matches the Rfam family "Bacterial small subunit ribosomal RNA", at positions 30 to 507 of the family's 1533-position model. The record is from RNAcentral.